AGCAAAUCUCAAAAAGCCGUCCCAGUUCGGAUCGCAGGCUGCAACCCGCCUGCGUGAAGUUGGAAUCGCUAGUAAUCGCGGAUCAGCAUGCCGCGGUGAAUACGUUCCCGGGCCUUGUACACACCGCCCGUCACACCAUGAGAGUCGGGAACACCCGAAGUCCGUAGCCUAACCGCAAGGGGGGCGCGGCCGAAGGUGGGUUCGAUAAUUGGGGUGAAGUCGUAACAAGGUAGC
This 234-nucleotide ribosomal RNA is filed under the name uncultured bacterium. Its description in RNAcentral is "partial 16S ribosomal RNA". It matches the Rfam family "Bacterial small subunit ribosomal RNA", at positions 1266 to 1500 of the family's 1533-position model. The record is from RNAcentral.